GGUAGCCAAAAAUUGUGAGUGGAUUGAGGGUGGGAUGAGAAAUUAACCGUACAUCACCGCCCCCUGGUGCCCAGGUAUCGUACAAUCCGCCCCAAAACAUGGCUUUGCCGACAAAUAAUAAGGCUGCAACACCCAGAGAAAUUAGGUUAAAGCCCAAAAUGGUGGUGAUUUUAUCUUUGUCUGCCCA
Molecule: antisense RNA, 187 nt
Filed under: Leptolyngbyaceae cyanobacterium JSC-12
Lineage: Bacteria; Bacillati; Cyanobacteriota; Cyanophyceae; Leptolyngbyales; Leptolyngbyaceae
Description: Oscillatoriales cyanobacterium JSC-12 Antisense RNA which regulates isiA expression
Rfam family: Antisense RNA which regulates isiA expression
Source: Rfam by way of RNAcentral